GACGAACGCUGGCGGCGCGCCUAACACAUGCAAGUCGAAUGAGCGAGAGAGAGCUUGCUUUCUCAAGCGAGUGGCGAACGGGUGAGUAACGCGUGAGGAACCUGCCUCAAAGAGGGGGACAACAGUUGGAAACGACUGCUAAUACCGCAUAAGCCCACGACCCGGCAUCGGGUUGAGGGAAAAGGAGCAAUCCGCUAUGAGAUGGACCCGCGUCGCACUAGCUAGUUGGUGAGGUAACGGCUCACCAAGGCGACGAUGCGUAGCCGACCUGAGAGGGUGAUCGGCCACAUUGGGACUGAGACACGGCCCAG
This 311-nucleotide ribosomal RNA is filed under the name uncultured bacterium. Its description in RNAcentral is "bacterial SSU rRNA". It matches the Rfam family "Bacterial small subunit ribosomal RNA", at positions 28 to 334 of the family's 1533-position model. The record is from RNAcentral.